RNAcentral lists this long non-coding RNA (302 nucleotides) under Elaeis guineensis (African oil palm). Its description in RNAcentral is "long non-coding RNA (EGUI_LNC061487)". Lineage: Eukaryota; Viridiplantae; Streptophyta; Magnoliopsida; Arecales; Arecaceae. The record is from RNAcentral.
AUGGCAUCCAACUAUUGUAAAAAGUUCUCAUCUUUUUAUGGCUAAUAAGAAUGUCUCUAGGUCAUAUCUUUUUUCGUCAUAUAUGUCAAAUACACCAUAUAAUCUAGAAGUAUAGUAGAUUUUCUUAUUCUAAUAGAUCUUUAGAGAGCUAUCCCUUCAUCUGCUUAUGGUAGUGGUUGGACAGUUACUUCUUCGGCAAUAGAAACCUCAUAGAGUAAAACUUGAUGAAGUGGUGGUUCUUUUUGAAUGUUAUCUCGAGGAACAAUAAUAGGAAUCAUAGCUUUAAUCUACUUUACAGGCUC